CCUACGGGGAGCAGCAGUGAGGAAUAUUGGUCAAUGGGCGCGAGCCCGAACCAGCCAAGUCGCGUGAGGGAAGACGGUCCUAUGGAUUGUAAACCUCUUUUGUCGGGGAGCAAAAGACGCCACGCGUGGCGUUCCGAGAGUACCCGAAGAAAAAGCAUCGGCUAACUCCGUGCCCGCAGCCGCGGUAAUACGGAGGAUGCGAGCGUUAUCCGGAUUUAUUGGGUUUAAAGGGUGCGCAGGCGGAAGAUCAAGUCAGCGGUAAAAUUGAGAGGCUCAACCUCUUCGAGCCGUUGAAACUGGUUUUCUUGAGUGAGUGAGAAGUAUGCGGAAUGCGUGGUGUAGCGGUGAAAUGCAGAGAUAUCACGCAGAACUCCGAUUGCGAAGGCAGCAUACCGGCGCUCAACUGACGCUCAUGCACGAAAGUGUGGGUAUCGAACAGGAUUAGAUACCCCUGUAGUC
This 459-nucleotide ribosomal RNA is filed under the name uncultured bacterium. RNAcentral's name for it is "partial 16S ribosomal RNA". It matches the Rfam family "Bacterial small subunit ribosomal RNA", at positions 338 to 795 of the family's 1533-position model. The record is from RNAcentral.